GCCAGACUCCUACGGGAGGCAGCAGCGGGGAAUAUUGCACAAUGGGGGAAACCCUGAUGCAGCGACGCCGCGUGAGUGAAGAAGUAUUUCGGUAUGUAAAGCUCUCUCAGCAGGGAAGAAGUAGCGACCUUUGGGCCGCCAGACGGUACCUGACUAAGAAGCCCCGGCUAACUACGUGCCAGCAGCCGCGGUAAUACGUAGGGGGCAAGCGUUAUCCGGAUUUACUGGGUGUAAAGGGAGCGUAGACGGCAGCACAAGUCUGAAGUGAAAUGCCGGGGCUUAACCCCGGAACUGCUUUGGAAACUGUGCAGCUAGAGUGCAGGAGAGGUAAGUGGAAUUCCUAGUGUAGCGGUGAAAUGCGUAGAUAUUAGGAGGAACACCAGUGGCGAAGGCGGCUUACCGGACUGUAACUGACGUUGAGGCUCGAAAGCAUGGGGAGCAAACAGGAUUAGAUACCCUGGUAC
RNAcentral lists this ribosomal RNA (464 nucleotides) under uncultured bacterium. Its description in RNAcentral is "bacterial SSU rRNA". It matches the Rfam family "Bacterial small subunit ribosomal RNA", at positions 330 to 793 of the family's 1533-position model. The record is from RNAcentral.